UACAGAGGGGGCAAGCGUUGUUCGGAAUUACUGGGCGUAAAGGGCGCGUAGGCGGCCCGUUAAGUCGAACGUGAAAUCCCCAGGCUCAACCUGGGAACUGCGUCCGAUACUGGCGGGCUUGAAUCCGGGAGAGGGAUGCGGAAUUCCAGGUGUAGCGGUGAAAUGCGUAGAUAUCGGAAGGAACAUCAGUGGCGAAAGCGACUUCCUGGUCCAGCAUCGACGUUCAGGCACGAAAGCGUGGGGAGCAAACAGG
Molecule: ribosomal RNA, 253 nt
Filed under: uncultured bacterium
Lineage: Bacteria
Description: partial 16S ribosomal RNA
Rfam family: Bacterial small subunit ribosomal RNA
Source: RNAcentral